CGCGGUGUAGCUCAGCCUGGUAGAGCACAGGGCUCAUAACCCAGAGGUCGGCGGUUCGAUUCCGUCCCCCGCAA
RNAcentral lists this transfer RNA (74 nucleotides) under Variovorax paradoxus. RNAcentral's name for it is "tRNA-Met". It matches the Rfam family "tRNA". Rfam says of the family: Transfer RNA (tRNA) molecules are approximately 80 nucleotides in length. Their secondary structure includes four short double-helical elements and three loops (D, anti-codon, and T loops). Further hydrogen bonds mediate the characteristic L-shaped molecular structure. tRNAs have two regions of fundamental functional importance: the anti-codon, which is responsible for specific mRNA codon recognition, and the 3' end, to which the tRNAs corresponding amino acid is attached (by aminoacyl-tRNA synthetases). tRNAs cope with the degeneracy of the genetic code in two manners: having more than one tRNA (with a specific anti-codon) for a particular amino acid; and 'wobble' base-pairing, i.e. permitting non-standard base-pairing at the 3rd anti-codon position. The record is from RNAcentral. Lineage: Bacteria; Pseudomonadati; Pseudomonadota; Betaproteobacteria; Burkholderiales; Comamonadaceae. RNAcentral also lists the same sequence under 1 other name.